RNAcentral lists this transfer RNA (77 nucleotides) under Heterocephalus glaber (naked mole-rat). It matches the Rfam family "tRNA". From Rfam's summary of the family: Transfer RNA (tRNA) molecules are approximately 80 nucleotides in length. Their secondary structure includes four short double-helical elements and three loops (D, anti-codon, and T loops). Further hydrogen bonds mediate the characteristic L-shaped molecular structure. tRNAs have two regions of fundamental functional importance: the anti-codon, which is responsible for specific mRNA codon recognition, and the 3' end, to which the tRNAs corresponding amino acid is attached (by aminoacyl-tRNA synthetases). tRNAs cope with the degeneracy of the genetic code in two manners: having more than one tRNA (with a specific anti-codon) for a particular amino acid; and 'wobble' base-pairing, i.e. permitting non-standard base-pairing at the 3rd anti-codon position. Lineage: Eukaryota; Metazoa; Chordata; Mammalia; Rodentia; Bathyergidae. The record is from Rfam by way of RNAcentral.
UGUUGUGUAGCUCAGUGGUAGAGCAUUUUAUUUUACUAGCAUGCCUGAGGCCCUGUGUUCAAUCCCCAGCACUGCAA